Molecule: transfer RNA, 69 nt
Filed under: Ovis aries (sheep)
Lineage: Eukaryota; Metazoa; Chordata; Mammalia; Artiodactyla; Bovidae
Rfam family: tRNA
About the family: Transfer RNA (tRNA) molecules are approximately 80 nucleotides in length.
Source: Rfam by way of RNAcentral
CCUGGUGGCUCAGAGGUUAAAGUGUCUGCCUGUAAUGCGGGAGACCCGGGUUCGAUCCCUGGGUCAGGA